RNAcentral lists this ribosomal RNA (433 nucleotides) under uncultured bacterium. RNAcentral describes it as "partial 16S ribosomal RNA". It matches the Rfam family "Bacterial small subunit ribosomal RNA", at positions 29 to 507 of the family's 1533-position model. The record is from RNAcentral.
AACGAACGCUGGCGGCAUGCCUAACACAUGCAAGUCGAACGAGACCUUCGGGUCUAGCGGCGCACGGGUGCGUAACGCGUGGGAACCGUCCCUUAGGUUGGGAAUAACUCCCCGAAAGGGGUGCUAAUACCGGAUAAUGUCUUCGGACCAAAGAUUUAUCGCCUUUGGAUGGGCCCGCGUUGAAUUAGCUAGUUGGUAGGGUAAAAGCCUACCAAGGCGACGAUCCAUAGCUGGUCUGAGAGGAUGAUCAGCCACACUGGGACUGAGACACGGCCCAGACUCCUACGGGAGGCAGCAGUGGCGAAUAUUGGAACAUGGGCGAAAGCCUGAUCCAGCAAUGCCGCGUGAGUGCUGAAGGCCUUAGGGUUGUAAAGCUCUUUUACACGGGAUGAUAAUGACAGUACCGGGAGAAUAAGCUCCGGCUAACUCCGUG